CAACAGUUUCUAAAAUACCCUUUUCCUGAUUCGACUGUCUCUUCUCUUCCACGGGAAAAAACCAACCACUGGAAAUCUAUCAAACUAAUGAAAAAAUUGUAUCGCAUGUCGUGAUCUGAAUGGAAAUCCAAUAGUUGUCAUUCAAGUUGGUAGCUUAAGCGACAAAAAGGGCCGUUUAACAUCAGAAGCAACAAGGUAGACUGGUGGUACUGAUGGUGGCUCUACCCCUACUUCUUCCAUUGAGGGCUAUAACUGAACAAUCAAAUAAUAUCCCUCCAAAGCAAUAAACUAUGAGACAUUGGCAAAUUGGGAAACAAUCAUGCAGUAACAAUUGCGGAGACCAUAAACAGUUUACAAAAUGUCUGAUAAGAAACGUCGGAGUCUUGUAACUUUUGUUGAAAGAAAAUGCAUAUAUUACCAUUGAAACAAACUCUAAGUUUUCAAGUUAGUAUUAAAGUGAGGAAGGUAUCGCAAGAAUAGUUAUAAUCAUCUCAUAAUCCAAGCAAAUAUGUAUCAUUCUUUUUUUA
Non-coding RNA from Nicotiana tabacum (common tobacco), 527 nucleotides. The record is from RefSeq and is a predicted model, not a curated record. Lineage: Eukaryota; Viridiplantae; Streptophyta; Magnoliopsida; Solanales; Solanaceae.